UCACUUGAUGGGCAGGAAUGACUAAUUG
This 28-nucleotide non-coding RNA is filed under the name Bombyx mori (domestic silkworm). The record is from RNAcentral. Lineage: Eukaryota; Metazoa; Arthropoda; Insecta; Lepidoptera; Bombycidae.